UGUGAUGUAGUCAUUUUAUUUUUAAUGCAUUUUUGCGUCCGAUUUUUAUUAAUCUUUUAUCAGUUUUUUAUGUUUUUUAGUCAAAAUAAUCGGGUCGAUUAUUUAAAAUUAUUUGUUUUUUUAAUUUGAUUUUUAUUUGAGUCAUUUACUUUUAUUAAUUGUUGAAGUUACGUGUAUUUAUUUUAAUUUAUCAUAAAAAAAUAAAAU
RNAcentral lists this long non-coding RNA (207 nucleotides) under Lathyrus oleraceus (garden pea). Its description in RNAcentral is "Pisum sativum (pea) long non-coding RNA (PSAT_LNC034578)". Lineage: Eukaryota; Viridiplantae; Streptophyta; Magnoliopsida; Fabales; Fabaceae. The record is from RNAcentral.